This 60-nucleotide microRNA precursor is filed under the name Anolis carolinensis (green anole). RNAcentral's name for it is "Aca-Mir-10-P3b_pre stem-loop". Lineage: Eukaryota; Metazoa; Chordata; Lepidosauria; Squamata; Anolidae. The record is from RNAcentral.
UCCCUGAGACCCUUAACCUGUGAGGAAGCCCAGAGGUCACAGGUGAGGUUCUUGGGAACU